CCCUAUGGGGUGCACCAAGGUCAAGGAUUUUCUCACGCAGAUGAAUGUCGCCUUUGAAGAGGUUGACGUCAGCGCAAAUCGGGAAGCCGCGAUGGAGAUGGUCAAGAGGACACGACAGAUGGGAGUUCCUGUCACCCAGGUGAACGAGCGCUUCAUUGUCGGGUUUAACGCUUCCGAGAUCGAGGGGGCCUUGAAGGACGCCGGGAUCAUAAAGGCCUAGGCAUUUGUAGAGAAAGGCAAAAAAGGGGCUGGUUGAACCAGCCCCUUUUAAAUUUUUGCAUUUUCCGGAGGCGGUCGCAUGAAAACGAAUCUCCUAACGAUCGGUCUUGGCGGAGUCAUUCGAAAGGAAUGGGCGGGGGGGC
Molecule: ribosomal RNA, 362 nt
Filed under: uncultured prokaryote
Description: partial 16S ribosomal RNA
Source: RNAcentral